GAUGAACGCUAGCGGCAGGCUUAAUACAUGCAAGUCGAGGGGCAUCAAGGUACACGAAAGUGUAUUGUUGGCGACCGGCGGACGGGUGAGUAAUAGGUAGGUAACCUACCUCAUACUGAGGCAUAGCUGGGAGAAAUUCCAGGUAAUUCCUCAUGAGGUUAUAUGACACAUGUGAUAUAAUCAAAGGUAUCGCAAGGUACUGGUAUGAGAUGGGCUUACUGACCAUUAGCUAGUUGGUGAGAUAAGAGCUCACCAAGGCGAAGAUGGUUAGGGGUUUGAGAGAGAGAUCCCCCACAUUGGAACUGAGAUACGGUCCAGACUCCUACGGGAGGCAGCAGUAGGGAAUAUUGGGCAAUGGGCGGAAGCCUGACCCAGCCAUGCCGCGUGAAGGAAGACGGCCUUAGGGUUGUAAACUUCUUUACUAUGCGACUAACUAGAUUUACGAGAUAAUUCUAUAGAAUGUAGCAUAGCGAAAAAGCAACCGGA
This 486-nucleotide ribosomal RNA is filed under the name uncultured bacterium. Its description in RNAcentral is "bacterial SSU rRNA". It matches the Rfam family "Bacterial small subunit ribosomal RNA", at positions 28 to 498 of the family's 1533-position model. The record is from RNAcentral.